GGAUGAACGCUGGCGGCGUGCCUAAUACAUGCAAGUCGAGCGAACAGACGAGGAGCUUGCUCCUUUGACGUUAGCGGCGGACGGGUGAGUAACACGUGGGUAACCUACCUAUAAGACUGGGAUAACUUCGGGAAACCGGAGCUAAUACCGGAUAAUAUUUCGAACCGCAUGGUUCGAUAGUGAAAGAUGGCUUUGCUAUCACUUAUAGAUGGACCUGCGCCGUAUUAGCUAGUUGGUAAGGUAACGGCUUACCAAGGCAACGAUACGUAGCCGACCUGAGAGGGUGAUCGGCCACACUGGAACUGAGACACGGUCCAGACUCCUACGGGAGGCAGCAGUAGGGAAUCUUCCGCAAUGGGCGAAAGCCUGACGGAGCAACGCCGCGUGAGUGAUGAAGGUCUUCGGAUCGUAAAACUCUGUUAUUAGGGAAGAACAAACGUGUAAGUAACUGUGCACGUCUUGACGGUACCUAAUCAGAAAGCCACGGCUAACUACGUG
Molecule: ribosomal RNA, 498 nt
Filed under: uncultured bacterium
Lineage: Bacteria
Description: partial 16S ribosomal RNA
Rfam family: Bacterial small subunit ribosomal RNA
Source: RNAcentral